CUGGCUCAGGAUGAACGCUGGCGGCAUGCCUAAGACAUGCAAGUCGAACGAAGUGGCCCGAUGAAAAUGGAGUACUGUACAAAUUGGAUUGGACUUCCACUAGUGGCAGACGGGUGAGUAACACGUAAGUAACCUACCUCAAAGACUGGGAUAACGUUUGGAAACGAACGCUAAUACCGGAUAAUUCAUAUUUAGAUAACUAAAUAUGCUAAAAGAAGCGUUUGCUUCACUAUGAGAUGGGCUUGCGGCGUAUUAACUAGUUGGUAGGGUAAUGGCCUACCAAGGUGACGAUGCGUAGCCGGGCUGAGAGGCUAAUCCGGCCACAUUGGGACUGAGACACGGCCCAAACUCCUACGGGAGGCAGCAGUUAGGAAUAUUCGUCAAUGGGGGAAACCCUGAACGAGCAAUGCCGCGUGAGUUGAUGACAGUCUUAUAGAUUGUAAAACUCUGUUGUAAAGGAAGAACCCUUACUAUAGGAAAUGAUAGUAAGCUGACGGUACUUUACCAGAAAGCCCCGGCUAACUACGUGCCAGCCGCUGC
RNAcentral lists this ribosomal RNA (540 nucleotides) under uncultured bacterium. RNAcentral's name for it is "bacterial SSU rRNA". It matches the Rfam family "Bacterial small subunit ribosomal RNA", at positions 19 to 518 of the family's 1533-position model. The record is from RNAcentral.